CCAACCUGCGGCCGACUCCAACUCGAUCGGCCACCACGGCGUCACCGCCGACAUCGUCGGCGUCUCCGCCCUAGCCCAGGACCUCUAUAACUUUGAGAUCACCAACCAGGUUCCUCAAGGAUUAGGUAAGCAUGUUGUCUCAUCCAGAAAAGCCCAAAUCAACUGGUACAAGAAACUCUCUGAUGCGUGGAGAGAAACCAAACCACCUCCAAUAAAUUCAAUUUACACACACACCUCGUUUGAUGCAAAUAACAUUUAAUGUUCACAUUCAAAAUUUUCUAUGAAAAACGCACAAACACACUUGUGUGUGUAUGUGUGUGUGUGUUAAAUGCUUACUUUGACAAUUGGCUUGGAUUUGGAUGAGAAUUCAGAAG
Erythranthe guttata (spotted monkey flower) is the source of this 374-nucleotide non-coding RNA. The record is from RefSeq and is a predicted model, not a curated record. Lineage: Eukaryota; Viridiplantae; Streptophyta; Magnoliopsida; Lamiales; Phrymaceae.